CAACAUCAAAGAUCGUUUCAGCUUCUUCCCUGUAACACGGCUCCGUGUUUCUGAUUUCACAGAUAAACCCUCAAUAUUCCCUGUUGAAACGGUGGAAGGAAAGACUGUGAACAUAACCUGCACCUUCAACACCACAUGUGAUGGAACAGCUUCCACCUUAACCUGGGUCACCCCCAUUGAUGAACCACUGUCAGUCUCACACAGUGUAACUCAGUGGGGUGACAAACUGACAUAUACUUCUGUUGUGUCCCUGACCCCAGCGCUCAAACAUCACAGGAAAAACCUCACCUGCAGAUUCAGAUACCGAACUGUUUCAUCGGAGCAGACCCUCACACUGACUGUGCAAUAUUCCCCACAGAAUCUCUCAAUCACUUCUUCCGACAAGGUGAACAAUUCCUGGGUCAGUAUAAAGUAAGGGAACUCUACAGUGAUCCUCUGCUCCGUCCAGAGUUUCCCAGCAUCAAACCUGACAUGGAGACAUCUUGGUGUCACAAUGAAC
This is a long non-coding RNA of Amblyraja radiata (thorny skate), 499 nucleotides long. RefSeq lists it as uncharacterized. The transcript is spliced from 3 exons. NCBI's taxonomy places the organism in Eukaryota, Metazoa, Chordata, Chondrichthyes, Rajiformes, Rajidae. The record is from RefSeq and is a predicted model, not a curated record.